RNAcentral lists this ribosomal RNA (275 nucleotides) under uncultured Bacteroides sp. Its description in RNAcentral is "partial 16S ribosomal RNA". It matches the Rfam family "Bacterial small subunit ribosomal RNA", at positions 69 to 339 of the family's 1533-position model. The record is from RNAcentral. Lineage: Bacteria; Pseudomonadati; Bacteroidota; Bacteroidia; Bacteroidales; Bacteroidaceae.
AUGGUCUUAGCUUGCUAAGGCCGAUGGCGACCGGCGCACGGGUGAGUAACACGUAUCCAACCUGCCGUCUACUCUUGGCCAGCCUUCUGAAAGGAAGAUUAAUCCAGGAUGGGAUCAUGAGUUCACAUGUCCGCAUGAUUAAAGGUAUUUUCCGGUAGACGAUGGGGAUGCGUUCCAUUAGAUAGUAGGCGGGGUAACGGCCCACCUAGUCUUCGAUGGAUAGGGGUUCUGAGAGGUUAACCCCCACAUUGGGACUGAGAUACGGCCCAGACUCC